RNAcentral lists this long non-coding RNA (606 nucleotides) under Pongo abelii (Sumatran orangutan). RNAcentral describes it as "lincRNA". Lineage: Eukaryota; Metazoa; Chordata; Mammalia; Primates; Hominidae. The record is from RNAcentral.
ACAGCUGACCCCAGCCUCCACCCUCACUGUCACUCUGCUCUUUGGCUCCCACUCUCCUGCCACCCCUUGUGAAUAUUCAGGUGCCAGGGCCCUCUCCAUCUCAGCAUCUCUACUCACCCUGCAAAGCCCCUUCAGCCACAGGAAGUCACACAUCCACAGAUUCCGGGGACUAGGGUGUGGACAUUUUGGGGGAGCCAUGAUGCUGCCUCCCACACCUCCAUACGAACAUAUCACAGCCCAGACAGAUUCUCCUGCAGCCUGCAGCCUGGAAUGCAAAGGCCAGUGGGGCCAAAUCAGCUGAGCUGAGCUGAGCCAGCAGAGCCGCACGCAGCAGCUGCCCGGUGAGCAGCUGGGAACCGCUGAGAAAUGGAGAUGUUUGUCACAGCAGCAGCAGCUGGCAGAUACUUGCUAUCCACAUACCCUGGGCACACAUGGGCACCAAGGCUGGGGGCAACAGAGCUUUACACCCCGGGGUUCUCGCCUGACAGCCAAGAAGGGGGUUUUCCCUUCUACCGCCAAGAACAUCCCCCAAGGCCUCCCCACAUCUAAUAAUCAGGAAGAUAACGUGGUCAUCAACAAUGAAAGCUGCCCAGGCAGGCGCCUGCA